UGACGAGUGGCGGACGGGUGAGUAAUGUCUGGGAAACUGCCUGAUGGAGGGGGAUAACUACUGGAAACGGUAGCUAAUACCGCAUAACGUCGCAAGACCAAAGAGGGGGACCUUCGGGCCUCUUGCCAUCGGACGUGCCCAGAUGGGAUUAGCUAGUAGGUGAGGUAACGGCUCACCUAGGCGACGAUCAGUAGCCGGCUUGAGAGAGUGAACGGCCACAUUGGGACUGAGACACGGCCCAAACUCCUACGGGAGGCGCAUG
This 262-nucleotide ribosomal RNA is filed under the name uncultured bacterium. RNAcentral's name for it is "partial 16S ribosomal RNA". It matches the Rfam family "Bacterial small subunit ribosomal RNA", at positions 89 to 349 of the family's 1533-position model. The record is from RNAcentral.